ACAAUAACUGGCAGGGAAAAUACCAAGAUCAUGAAUGUGGUUUUCCCAGACCAAGGCUUAUCCAUUGCACUCUGGUUGUGCUGACCCCCGCCUUUUCCCCAAAUGUGGGAAAUCUGAUUGCUUAACUUGUGGUAAUAGUGAUCUGCACUUGUGCUAAAAACAG
This 163-nucleotide small nuclear RNA is filed under the name Catagonus wagneri (Chacoan peccary). Its description in RNAcentral is "U1 spliceosomal RNA (ENSCWAG00000017722.1)". It matches the Rfam family "U1 spliceosomal RNA". Rfam says of the family: U1 is a small nuclear RNA (snRNA) component of the spliceosome (involved in pre-mRNA splicing). Its 5' end forms complementary base pairs with the 5' splice junction, thus defining the 5' donor site of an intron. There are significant differences in sequence and secondary structure between metazoan and yeast U1 snRNAs, the latter being much longer (568 nucleotides as compared to 164 nucleotides in human). Lineage: Eukaryota; Metazoa; Chordata; Mammalia; Artiodactyla; Tayassuidae. The record is from Rfam by way of RNAcentral.